GAGAAGCCUGCUACCUCACUACUCCUAUUUCCAGUUUCUUUCAAAGGUAAGGGGUAUUAUUUCUUUCUUUCAUCUUCUUGAAGAGAACUUCUGUUAUUCCAUUCUUUAUUAUUAUGUUGGAAUAACCUGUCUAUGCGAAGUACCGCAUACAUAGUGAAAUUCUUCUGUUAUUCCAUUCUUUAUUAUUCUGUUGGAACAUCCUGUCUGUGCUUUACGCAUGACCUGGUUCCGUUAUUUAUUAUUCUG
Molecule: long non-coding RNA, 246 nt
Filed under: Panax ginseng (ginseng)
Lineage: Eukaryota; Viridiplantae; Streptophyta; Magnoliopsida; Apiales; Araliaceae
Description: long non-coding RNA (PGIN_LNC011538)
Source: RNAcentral